This is a microRNA precursor of Chlorocebus sabaeus (green monkey), 96 nucleotides long. Lineage: Eukaryota; Metazoa; Chordata; Mammalia; Primates; Cercopithecidae. The record is from Ensembl.
UAUUCGGUUGGUGCAAAACUAAUUGCGAUUUUUGCCACUUGAAAGUAAUGGCAAAAACUGCAAUUACUUUUGCACCAACCUAAUAGAAAACCAGUG